AUGUCAUGAUUUGGGCAUUGGGCUAACAUUCCAUUAAACCUCUCCUAAGCUUCAAACAACGAUUCUCCAUUCAUUUCCCAGAAGUUCACAAUCUCAUCCUGCUUAU
This 106-nucleotide small nucleolar RNA is filed under the name Capsicum annuum. RNAcentral's name for it is "Plant small nucleolar RNA R71". It matches the Rfam family "Plant small nucleolar RNA R71". From Rfam's summary of the family: R71 is a member of the C/D box family of snoRNAs containing the C (UGAUGA) and D (CUGA) box motifs. The record is from Rfam by way of RNAcentral. Lineage: Eukaryota; Viridiplantae; Streptophyta; Magnoliopsida; Solanales; Solanaceae.